GACGAACGCUGGCGGCGUGCCUAAUACAUGCAAGUCGAGCGAAGUUUCUCUGGUGCUUGCACCGGAAAAACUUAGCGGCGAACGGGUGAGUAACACGUAAAGAACCUGCCUCAUAGACUGGGACAACUAUUGGAAACGAUAGCUAAUACCGGAUAACAGCAUUAACUGCAUGGUUGAUGUUUAAAAGUUGGUUUUGCUAACACUAUGAGAUGGCUUUGCGGUGCAUUAGCUAGUUGGUGGGGUAAAGGCCUACCAAGGCGACGAUGCAUAGCCGACCUGAGAGGGUGAUCGGCCACACUGGGACUGAGACACGGCCCAGACUCCUACGGAGGCAGCAGUAGGGAAUCUUCCGCAAUGGGCGAAAGCCUGACGGAGCAACGCCGCGUGAGUGAAGAAGGAUUUCGGUUCGUAAAGCUCUGUUGUUAGGGAAGAAUGAUUGUGUAGUAACUAUACACAGUAGAGACGGUACCUAACCAGAAAGCCACGGCUAACUACGUG
RNAcentral lists this ribosomal RNA (498 nucleotides) under uncultured bacterium. RNAcentral describes it as "partial 16S ribosomal RNA". It matches the Rfam family "Bacterial small subunit ribosomal RNA", at positions 28 to 507 of the family's 1533-position model. The record is from RNAcentral.